AGACCAUGGUAUGGACACCGUCUUUGCAAUUCCUUACACCUUUCCCAUAGCUCAUAUAAAGAUUCACCAUAAAUUAAACACAACUAGUAAUAUCAUUCAUAAGUUU
Small nucleolar RNA from Diospyros lotus (date-plum), 106 nucleotides. Lineage: Eukaryota; Viridiplantae; Streptophyta; Magnoliopsida; Ericales; Ebenaceae. The record is from RefSeq and is a predicted model, not a curated record.